CAUUCCAAUAAAAAAAAAGCACAAGGAUCAAAUAAAAUUCAUUGAAUUAUUUAUCUCAUGUUGUUUUUGUAUCUGUUGUUGCAUCUCUAAAAGUCUACCCUUCAGGAUGUGCACAAAUGAUCACUUCCUUCCUCUUCAAACGCUGCCACUGAAGCAAGGCCUAAUCGCCUUCUCCGACUGAACCUAUACCAUCUAUCCCUACCUGCUGAUCAUCACCUGAGAGCAGUGGACCAAAGAUGAAGUCCUGACAAGCUGUAAAAAUGUCUCAGGCUGUUUACGUGAUGCCAAGCAGAGGUUCAAAUCAGCCAUCAGGUCCAGCCAUCUGUCCUCUCCAAGUGAAGACCAGACUGGACGUCAAAACAUCAUGCAAAGAGCCAGAAGCUUCUCAAAGACAAAAUAAAGCAGCGGUGCAGAACCAGGA
Danio rerio (zebrafish) is the source of this 421-nucleotide non-coding RNA. NCBI's taxonomy places the organism in Eukaryota, Metazoa, Chordata, Actinopteri, Cypriniformes, Danionidae. The record is from RefSeq and is a predicted model, not a curated record.